This 1033-nucleotide ribosomal RNA is filed under the name Phaeosphaeria sp. RNAcentral's name for it is "SSU rRNA". It matches the Rfam family "Eukaryotic small subunit ribosomal RNA", at positions 68 to 1113 of the family's 1831-position model. Lineage: Eukaryota; Fungi; Ascomycota; Dothideomycetes; Pleosporales; Phaeosphaeriaceae. The record is from RNAcentral.
AGCAUUAUACCGUGAAACUGCGAAUGGCUCAUUAAAUCAGUUAUCGUUUAUUUGAUAGUACCUUACUACUUGGAUAACCGUGGUAAUUCUAGAGCUAAUACAUGCUAAAAACCCCAACUUCGGGAGGGGUGUAUUUAUUAGAUAAAAAACCAACGCCCUUCGGGGCUUCUUGGUGAUUCAUGAUAACUNUUACGGAUCGCAUGGCCUUGCGCCGGCGACGGUUCAUUCAAAUNUUCUGCCCUAUCAACUUUCGAUGGUAAGGUAUUGGCUUACCAUGGUUUCAACGGGUAACGGGGAAUUAGGGUUCGAUUCCGGAGAGGGAGCCUGAGAAACGGCUACCACAUCCAAGGAAGGCAGCAGGCGCGCAAAUUACCCAAUCCCGACACGGGGAGGUAGUGACAAUAAAUACUGAUACAGGGCUCUUUUGGGUCUUGUAAUUGGAAUGAGUACAAUUUAAACCUCUUAACGAGGAACAAUUGGAGGGCAAGUCUGGUGCCAGCAGCCGCGGUAAUUCCAGCUCCAAUAGCGUAUAUUAAAGUUGUUGCAGUUAAAAAGCUCGUAGUUGAAACUUGGGUCUGGCUGGCAGGUCCGCCUCACCGCGUGUACUUGUCCGGCCGGGCCUUCCUUCUGGAGAACCUCAUGCCCUUCACUGGGCGUGUUGGGGACCAGGACUUUUACUUUGAAAAAAUUAGAGUGUUCAAAGCAGGCCUUUGCUCGAAUACGUUAGCAUGGAAUAAUAGAAUAGGACGUGCGGUCCUAUUUUGUUGGUUUCUAGGACCGCCGUAAUGAUUAAUAGGGACAGUCGGGGGCAUCAGUAUUCAAUUGUCAGAGGUGAAAUUCUUGGAUUUAUUGAAGACUAACUACUGCGAAAGCAUUUGCCAAGGAUGUUUUCAUUAAUCAGUGAACGAAAGUUAGGGGAUCGAAGACGAUCAGAUACCGUCGUAGUCUUAACCGUAAACUAUGCCGACUAGGGAUCGGGCGAUGUUCUUUUUCUGACUCGCUCGGCACCUUACGAGAAAUCAAAGUUUUGGUU